Long non-coding RNA from Macaca fascicularis (crab-eating macaque), 2544 nucleotides. NCBI's taxonomy places the organism in Eukaryota, Metazoa, Chordata, Mammalia, Primates, Cercopithecidae. The record is from Ensembl.
UUUUUUUUUAUUAUUAUUAUAGCCAUCCUUGUGGGCAUUGUGGGGUUUUUUCAAUAUUUUUUUCUAUUUCUUUAUUUUAUUCAUUGUGUUUCCAUUUUAAUUUGUAUUUCUUUAUUGAUUAAACGUGUUGAGUAUCUUUUUUUUCUUUCCAGACAAAGUCUCGCUUUGUCACCCAGGCUGGAGUGCAGUGGCACACCCAUGGCUGACUGCAGCCUUGACCUUCCAGGUUCAAGUGAUCCUCCCACUUGAGCUUUCUGAGUGGCUGGGUCUGCAGGUGCACACCACCACGCCCAGCUAAUGUUUUGUUUUUGUGUUUUUUGGUAGAGAUGGGGUAUUGCUAUGUUGCCAGGGCUAACCUAGAACUCCUGGACUAAAGCAAUCCUCACACGUUGGCCGCUCAAAGUGCUGGGAUUACAGGUGUGAGCCAGUGUGGCUGGCCUAAUGUGUUGAGCAUCUUUUCAUGUGCUUAUUAGCCAUCUAUAGAUUUUCUUUGGUGAAAUGUAUAUUCAAAUCUUUCGCCCAUGUUUUAAAUUGGGUUUUUGUUAUUUAUCUAUCGAAAGAUGGGGUCUCACUCUGUUGCCCAGGCUGGAGUACAGUGGCGUAAUCGUAGCUCACUGCAGUCUCAAACUCCUGGGCUCAAGCAAUCUUCUUACUUCAGCUUCCCCAGUAGUUGGGAGCAUAGGCACAUGCCACUAUCCCUGUCUAUGGGUUUUUAAUAUUUUUAUUGUUGAGUUUCAUGGGUUUUUAAAAUAAAUAUUCUGCUCUCCCCGCCUCAGCAAACCAAUGCGGAAACAAAAAACCAAAUAUCACAUGUUCUCACUUACAAGGGGAGCUGAAUGAUGAGAACACAUGGACACGUGGCGGGGAACAACACAUACUAGGGCCUGUUGAGGGCUGGUGGGGAGGGUGAGCAUCAGAAAGAAUAACUAAUAGAUGCUAGGCUUAAUAACUAGGUGAUAGGUUGAUCUGUAUAGCAAAUAAUCAUGGUGCACUUUUGCCUAUGUAACAAACCUGUACAUCCUGCACAUGUACCCUGGAACUGAAAAGUUGUUGAAAAAUAAAAUAAAAUAAAUAAAAUAUAUAUUCUGACUGUACAUCCUUUGUGAUGUAUAUGAUUUGCAAAUAUUUUCUCCCAGUGUGUGGCAGGUAAUGAUGGCUUUUGAAGCACAAAAGUGGCAUUUAAGUUUCUUCCAUUUUCAAGUCUGCCUGAUAGUCACUUUUUGUUGGGCCCUUUCACGUCUCAUCUGAGCAUGCUGGGAAUGUGUGGAUAGCCAGGUUCCCCUUGAUCUGCCCUGCACACACAUGCAGCCCACAUCAGCCAGAUGCUUGCCCCAAUCCCGCUCCACUCGCCUGCUGCCAAGAUCAUGUCCAUCAACAACACUGCUGUGCUAGACGUUGUCCACUGCUUCAAAUCCAGUGAACCCCUUGACCAUGGGAGUGAAAAUGCCAGUGCUCACAGCUGGCCCUGGUAGAGCCCCUUUGACAGCAGAACAGGAUAGGGGAAUGGGAGCAGCUCCAGGCAAAAGCACUGCAGAGACUCACUGUUAGUAGUUUUAGUUUAGUUUAGAAAUUUUCCACCAUAAAUGCUUUUCAAAUUGUUAUAUGCCUUUGGUUGAUGAAAAUAUCCAGCAGUUUUAGUAAUGAGUAUGUGUUGCUCUAUAAUCAGAAAAAAGACCAAACAAAGUAAACUGUUCCAAAGCAGUACAUAUAACACACGCAAAUAUUUUUAAAAUUUUAAGUUUUCACACUAACUAAUGAAUUUUACUUAGCAUUUGUGAAACAGGGCCUCACAUUUACAAAAUUGGAAUUUUGCUCCUGUUCUGAGAGUUGCAAUGAUUUUUGUGACUGUUCUAAAACUGAAACUGAAGCACUAGAAUGAACCAUGACAAACUUUUAUCUUGGAAACUUGGGUACUUUUUGUUCAGGUACUUAGAUUGUCAUAUUUUGUGACAUUGAAUUUUGAGCUGGUUUUGCUAUUUUGGUUUUAGGUAGCUCAAAUACAGUCCUUCAGGAACAUGAUGGAUAAAAUACUUCUGUGUCUGUGAACCUAACUGCCAUUUGUAAAUUUGCUACUCUGGGGGAAAAUGAAUUCCAGGUUCCAAACAACGCUCAAAUGCUUGAAUGAGUCCCUCUCAGAUAUAUCAAUUCUGAAAAAAUUGCAUUUUUACUGUUGUUUUGCAAUUUUUUUUUUUUUUGGAGACAGGGUCUCACUCUAUUGUCCAGGUUGAAGUGCAAUGGCACAAUCAUGGCACACUGUAGCUUCAAAUUUCUAGGCCCAAAAGUCCUCCCACUUCGGCCUCCUGCCGAAUAGGGAGGAGGACCACAGGUGUACACUACCACACUCGGCUAAUUUUACGAUGUUUUGUAGAGACAAGGUCUCACUAUGUUACCCAGGCUGGUCUCAAAGUCCUGAACCCAAGUGAUCCUCCUGCCUCAGCCUCCCAAACUAUUGGGAUUGCAGGUGUGAGCAACCAUGCCUGGCUUGUUUUGCAAAUAUUUUAAAAUUCCAUCUUCUCAUUAAGAAUAUUAUAGAAAGAUGUUACC